GAGCUGCUCUUCUGCAGUGCGUUCUGCUACGCGCACGUAAACAGCUGUGCAGACAGCAGUGUAACCUCGUCAGGGAUCGUGAACUGAAUCUUAGAGGUGUUUAUUUUAUCUAUUAUGUAAGAGGAUGGGCGAAUUAAAUUAUUCUGAUUUGAACUACCGUGGCAAUCACGAGAUGUCCUGGGAAGGUGCAGCUGGUUAUCCGUCAGUCUACCGCGGCCGCGAGGUUAUGCGACCCCUGGACAUAGGUACCAAACAAACAUCCCUCCGUCGAGGGCAGUCCAUCUCACGACAAUGAUCAGGUGGUCAAACAUUAUAUAGGUCGAGCAAGUGGCCUUGCCAGUCUGAUAACAGAGAAUCUGCUGAUACAUCCGCUUCUCGCGUUAAGGAGACAGUGCAAAGUUAAUCCUAUUUCCAAAAAGUAUCAUGUGGGACUGAUAACUUCGAUACCGGUGAUGAUAAGGCUGCAUCAGACUCAAGAUUUGAAUACACUAUGGAAAGGCACUGGGACAGCACAUCGUUCUGAAAUGUGUUUCUAUUGGAAUAGUCACACCUUUUUACGCAGCCUCACUAGUUGAGACUGUUACUUGAAGUAAAAAGCAAAGGUCGUCUCAUUCCAAUAUCUCCAUUAUUACUGCCAAUAAUUGCAUAUGGACUCGUCAAGUACCUAUUUGCUAUUUCUGUCAAAAGAAUUGCAAGUUACAUAAUGAGAACUAGGCACAAAUACACUCAGGAGUCACGAAGUACAUAUUGCCAUAACAUGUCUGAAUUUGCUGCACAAGAUAUAGAAAUACAAGCUCCAUUAAUUUCCAUGUGCACAGCUAGUAUAAUUUUUUAUCCUUUUGAAACUGUUAUACAACGGUUGCACCUGCAGGGUACACGAACUAGAUCUUAUCGGAUAUAAAAUACCAGCAAUAGGGUAUGAGAUUUACAAAGUUCAUCUGCAAAUCUUGAUCUAUUGUCCAUUUCUACAUUUCAACGAGCUCUAAAAGUUCUCAAUCAAUAAGACCAAGUGCUUUAAGAGUCCACUCUAGUAUCAGGGUACACAUGAUAAUUUUGAUAGUUGUUCCAAUUGUUCUGGAAAAAUUGCUGUCUAAGAAGACUACUCUUGCUGUAGAAUCAGCUGUCCUGGCCUUUGAAGAAGUCUGUCCAGAUAGAAUAGAUCAUAUGCAUAAGAAGGAAACAGUGCUAAUGAUACCUCUGAUGAUUCUGUUUCAGAAUCAUUAGAGGUAAAGAUACCUAAAUUCACUCUUCAGGUAGAUGACAGGUUACUACUGCGUAACACAAAACCACUCCUAGAAUGUAGAAAUGCUGCAGUUGUAAUGGCAGUGGCCUAAUUGUACUACCAUGCUGCACCUUGAGGAGAGGCAUAAUUCCUUCAAAGGCCUUGAUUAGAUUACUCAGAGGUCACGGAGAAGUUCAAAGUGUGGUUCUCCACUGUAUAGCAAGCAUUUCGAUUCCUAGAAAGGGAAUGUUUGAGCCUUUCCUAAAAUCUUUCUUUGUCAGAACGUCUGAUUCAACUCACAUAAAAUUAUUGAAGUUUCAAUAAUUUUAAUUUUAAUUUCAAACCUAUAUCUCAAGUAGCGACAAAGAAUUAGUUCGUACUUGUAUCCAAGCUGUUGGAAGAUGUGCUAGUAAUAUUAAGGAAGUUACCGGUACAUGUCUAAAUGGAUUAGUCUCUCUAUUGAGAAAUAGAGAUGAAGCUAUUGUAGCAGAAGGCGUAGUAGUGAUAAAGCAACUUCUGCAAACUAAACCAAACGAAUAUAAGGAUAUAAUAGUUCGUAUGGCCAAAUUGAUGUACUUUAUAACUGUGCCACAAGCCAGAGCAUCUAUCCUGUGGCUCUUGGGUGAAUACUCUAACCCAGUGCUAAAAAUAGCGCCUGAUGUCUUAAGAAAAAUGUCAAAAACAUUCAUCAACAAGGAAGACAUACUGAAAUUGUAUUAUUCAAAAGUGUUAAUUAUACUACAUUCUGAAGAAGUGUUUAUAUUAUACGAAUUUAAGUUGUUUUAAGUUAAAUUUAAGUUAAUUUUAUACGAAUUUAUUGUUGUAAGAAACCAUGAAGCUACUCAUUUUAUGUAAAAGAAGAAAGUAAUAUAAAGCAAUAAAAUGUUUCCAUUGCUAAGUU
This 2123-nucleotide long non-coding RNA is filed under the name Nasonia vitripennis (jewel wasp). RNAcentral's name for it is "uncharacterized LOC100119161". The record is from RNAcentral. Lineage: Eukaryota; Metazoa; Arthropoda; Insecta; Hymenoptera; Pteromalidae.